This 253-nucleotide ribosomal RNA is filed under the name uncultured bacterium. Its description in RNAcentral is "partial 16S ribosomal RNA". It matches the Rfam family "Bacterial small subunit ribosomal RNA", at positions 524 to 776 of the family's 1533-position model. The record is from RNAcentral.
UACGUAGGGUGCAAGCGUUGUCCGGAAUUAUUGGGCGUAAAGAGCUCGUAGGCGGUUUGUUGCGUCGGCUGUGAAAUCCCGAGGCUCAACCUCGGGUCUGCAGUCGAUACGAGCAAACUAGAGUGUUGCAGGGGAGACUGGAAUUCCUGGUGUAGCGGUGAAAUGCGCAGAUAUCAGGAGGAACACCGGUGGCGAAGGCGGUUCUCUGGGAAUAUCCUGACGCUGAGGAGCGAAAGUGUGGGGAGCAAACAGG